Long non-coding RNA from Hevea brasiliensis (rubber tree), 449 nucleotides. RefSeq lists it as uncharacterized. NCBI's taxonomy places the organism in Eukaryota, Viridiplantae, Streptophyta, Magnoliopsida, Malpighiales, Euphorbiaceae. The transcript has 3 exons. The record is from RefSeq and is a predicted model, not a curated record.
UCAAUUCGCAGAAAUUCGACAGUUGCCCAGGUCUGUGAAAUUCUGGCCAGACGAACCGGCUACCGAAAAGUCUCGGAAUUGGAUCAAGAUUUUAGCUACCCACCAUUGUCAGACGUCCCGAGCGCGUCUCCGGAGUCGAAAUCGAUAUAGGUGAGCCGAGACAGCCUUCCUCCUCCGCCCAGCCGCCACAGUGACUUCAGUUGAGUCUGCUACAUGAGGAUAUUUGUUGUGGUUAAACUGCUUUUCUUCUUCGCAGGUCGUCUAUUAAUGUUUGUUUAAUUCUGUUAACUCCUAGAACUUCCGCAUGUGUUAUAAAUAUUCAUUUGAUUUGGGUCUGUAAUAUAAUUACCAUGUUGGACCUGUAAACUUAUUAUAUGCAUGUAUGUUGGAUUGAAUGAGGGAGCUGAGCUCCCAUUUAUUUUUAUGACAUUUGAGUAUGUGGAGGGUGA